UAUGCAACUGACAAAAACAGUAAUUUGUUUUGUAACUUUUGCUUUGAGGAAGCAGCCAUGUGCAAAUGUAGACCAAUUUUAGCACAGGAAACAAAAGAGCAAAUCCCCUCUAAUCUGAUUGAACGCAUGAAUCCUGAGUAUAUGAGGCCUACACAUUACACAAACUGAACCAAGUGAAAAAGUUCGCAUGCUUACACGUGACUACACCUCCUCAAACUAUUCUCACAUAUCAUUCCCUCAUGACAAUAUCAAUAACGUGGCAAGUUCUCAUUGGUUGGUUAGCUGAAGGUGCGGUGGCUGGCUUCCACAGGAAAUGCAAAGAGGCUAGUCACCUAUACUUUACCAACCAAUGAAGCUUGGAUGGCACUUCACCCAUUGAUUAUUAGUGACUUUGAUGCUAAAAGUACAUAACCCAAUGAGGUCAACAAGUCAUCAUCUCUAAUGAAACAACGAAAGCCAAAGCAAGAAAAGCUAAAGACCCACAAAAUAAUGAAGUAGUAGAAGAUAAGGCGAGAGAAAGGGAGACAUCAACUUCCCAUCUCCUCUGCUUUGCUUUGCUUACCUUCUCAUCUAAGCCCCCCAAACCCUUCCUUUUCCUAUUACCUCUUGGCUCUUCCCUUCCCAUCUCUCCCUCUCUGCACCUGAAAAUCUAGUGUAAAUACUGAGGCAAGUGGCUACCAAGAUUCAACAUGGGUUCUGUUGGGAACCAGAAUCCUUGGGCACCCUAUGAUGUCUAUAAAGAUUGUUCCCAACAAAUUUGCAGCAUAUAUUGUCCACAAUGGUGCUACAUGAUUUUCCCUCCUCCUCCUCCCUUUACCAUUGGAGAUGAUGAUUCUGGAACUGAUUUCUCCCCUCUCAUUAUAGCAGUGAUUGGCAUCUUGGCCAGUGCUUUCAUCCUGGUAACUUACUAUACCAUCAUUUCCAAGUAUUGCAGGCGAGGAGGCCAUGAUGAUAAUAGGUCGGAAUUGGGUGAAAAUCACGACCAAAUCACUAAUGAAGCCUGGCAGGGUUCUGCAGCUGGAUUGGAUGAGGCUCUUAUCAAGUCAAUUACCGUAUGCAAAUACAAGAAAGGUGAUGGGUUCGUUGAAAGCUCAGAUUGCUCUGUUUGUUUAAGUGAAUUUCGAGAAAAUGAGAGCUUAAGGUUAUUGCCUAAGUGUAACCACGCAUUUCAUCUCCCUUGUAUUGAUACUUGGCUUAAGUCUCAUGCUAGUUGUCCUCUCUGCCGUGCCAAUAUUGCACACACCAACAUCCUGCCUACCCAACCACCACCACCGCCAAUUCAAGAAACUCCCCUCAGCACUGCCGUGUCUGCCCUUGAAUACCAGCACAGGAUUAAUGAUGAUGUUCUAGUGAUUCAAGAUCUACAAGGAGGUGUUCGUGAAGAAGCUGUGGUUAGUCUUGUAGUUGGUGAUAUACUACCAAAGCCAACAUUUCAAGAUCUUGGAUUAAACACUCAGAAUAUGAGACAAGAAACAGAAAACGUUACCGAAAUUAGAGAGGAAGCCAUCCAACCAAUUAGAGGGUCGGCUUCUUUGAAUUCUUCCCUCUGCCAUAAUGAAGUUUCGAUUGCUGAUAACCUGCGCAUAAGCGAGGAUGAAGAUGGUGAUGAUUACAGAAGGAGAGAUAUAGACAAGAAUAAAAUUGGGAUCUUGAAUUUGGUUAGAAGUCCUCUUGCAAUUAGGAGAUCAACUUCAACAGGAAGAUUCAUGUUCACAAGGUAUGAAAAAGGCAGGAGUUCUAUGAUUCCUAAUUCAUUAGCAUAGUUAUUAUUAUUAUUAUUUUUGUUUCAAUGGGGUCCCAUUGAAAAUGGAAAUCGAGAGCUCAACCGUACUGAAAUAGCUCCAGUUUGUUCUUUCUUGUAUAAAACAAUUAUUUCCUCUUUCUUGUGUAACAUAGAAAGCACACCGUUAUAGAGAACUUGCAUAUGCAAUUUGACAAUGGAGAAUAUGAUUCCUGAACUUUGUUCCUCACCUUUAGAUUUUGAUCAAUGGGGUCUACUCUACAUUCAAGAAAUGGAAAACUUUUUAUUACCUGAAACUUUAGUCUUCUCAAUAUAGCCACUCAAGGCUCAUUGAUU
RNAcentral lists this unclassified non-coding RNA (2077 nucleotides) under Hevea brasiliensis (rubber tree). The record is from RNAcentral. Lineage: Eukaryota; Viridiplantae; Streptophyta; Magnoliopsida; Malpighiales; Euphorbiaceae.